GGGUACAUACAUGGGUCCCUGGGGUACGGAGGUCACUGGUGGGAGUGUCGGGUACAUACAUGGGUCCCUGGGGUACAGAGGUGGGCGUGUCGGGUACAUACAUGGGUCCCUGGGGUACGGAGGUCACUGGUGGGAGUGUCGGGUACAUACAUGGGUCC
This is a long non-coding RNA of Haliotis rufescens (red abalone), 158 nucleotides long. RefSeq lists it as uncharacterized. The transcript is spliced from 3 exons. The record is from RefSeq and is a predicted model, not a curated record. Lineage: Eukaryota; Metazoa; Mollusca; Gastropoda; Lepetellida; Haliotidae.